ACUCAAAGGAAUUGACGGGGGCCCGCACAAGCGGCGGAGCAUGUGGAUUAAUUCGAUGCAACGCGAAGAACCUUACCUGGGUUUGACAUGGCCGCUGUAGCCGCAGAGAUGCGGUGUCCUUCGGGGGUGGUCACAGGUGGUGCAUGGCUGUCGUCAGCUCGUGUCGUGAGAUGUUGGGUUAAGUCCCGCAACGAGCGCAACCCUUGUCCGAUGUUGCCAGCGGGUUAUGCCGGGGACUCAUCGGAGACUGCCGGGGUCAACUCGGAGGAAGGUGGGGAUGACGUCAAGUCAUCAUGCCCCUUAUGUCCAGGGCUUCACACAUGCUACAAUGGCCGGUACAAAGGGCUGCGAUACCGCGAGGUGGAGCGAAUCCCAAAAAGCCGGUCUCAGUUCGGAUCGGGGUCUGCAACUCGACCCCGUGAAGUCGGAGUCGCUAGUAAUCGCAGAUCAGCAACGCUGCGGUGAAUACGUUCCCGGGCCUUGUACACACCGCCCGU
RNAcentral lists this ribosomal RNA (497 nucleotides) under uncultured bacterium. RNAcentral describes it as "partial 16S ribosomal RNA". It matches the Rfam family "Bacterial small subunit ribosomal RNA", at positions 899 to 1397 of the family's 1533-position model. The record is from RNAcentral.